This is a non-coding RNA of Hypoxylon cercidicola, 98 nucleotides long. Lineage: Eukaryota; Fungi; Ascomycota; Sordariomycetes; Xylariales; Hypoxylaceae. The record is from the annotation of a GenBank genome assembly.
GGCAAGAUGGCCGAGUUGGUUAUGGCGUGAGGUUAAGGUCACCUUAGCAUCGAUUCCUCAUGGAGCAAUCUGCGUGGGUUCAAGUCCCACUCUUGUCA